GCGUAACACGUGGGCAAUCUGCCCUCCGAUGGGGAAUAACUCCGGGAAACCGAAGCUAAUUCCGCAUAACAUUCCCUGGACUCCGGUUCGGGGACUCAAAGCAGUGAUGCGUCGGAGGAGGAGCCCGCGCCCGAUUAGCUAGUUGGUGAGGUAAUGGCUCACCAAGGCAAUGAUCGGUAGCUGGUCUGAGAGGAUGGCCAGCCACACUGGAACUGAGACACGGUCCAGACUCCUACGGGAGGCAGCAGUGGGGAAUCUUGCGCAAUGGGCGAAAGCCUGACGCAGCGACGCCGCGUGGGGGAUGAAGCUUCUCGGAGUGUAAACCCCUUUCGACCGGGACGAAUGCCCGCAAGGGAGUGACGGUACCGGUAGAAGAAGCCCCGGCUAACUACGUGCCAGCAGCCGCGGUAAGACGUAGGGGGCCAGCGUUGUUCGGAAUUACUGGGUGUAAAGGGUUCGUAGGCGGUGUGGCAAGUCGGGAGUGAAAUCUUUGGGCUUAACUCAAAGGCUGCUUCCGAAACUGCUGUGCUCGAGUGUGGGAGAGGCGCGUGGAAUUGCACGUGUAGCGGUGAAAUGC
RNAcentral lists this ribosomal RNA (577 nucleotides) under uncultured bacterium. Its description in RNAcentral is "bacterial SSU rRNA". It matches the Rfam family "Bacterial small subunit ribosomal RNA", at positions 108 to 689 of the family's 1533-position model. The record is from RNAcentral.